GCCGCUGUGGUGGAAUGGUAUACACGUCCGCCUUAAGAGCGGAUGCCCUAUGGGCGUGUGGGUUCGACUCCCACCUGCGGCA
Molecule: transfer RNA, 82 nt
Filed under: Candidatus Daviesbacteria bacterium
Lineage: Bacteria; Candidatus Daviesiibacteriota
Description: tRNA-Leu
Rfam family: tRNA
About the family: Transfer RNA (tRNA) molecules are approximately 80 nucleotides in length. Their secondary structure includes four short double-helical elements and three loops (D, anti-codon, and T loops).
Source: RNAcentral